GCUGAUGGACCCAUCACAGAAGUUUAAUCCAACCUCCAUCCCAGAGUCUUCACAAAUGCUCACCAAAGAAAAUUCCCAGGACGAUUCAGGGGCCUCUCAAAUCUGCUCCGAGACGUUGACAAAAAACCUUAAUAACUUGACUGUCAAUGCUAGUAACGAAUCCCCUUCCCCUCUACCGGAAUGUUCACUCCAUGAACAGUCUACAAGAGCAACAAUCCUCAGGGAAAUCACAGAUCACUUGCUUUACAGGAGGAGAGGAGUAAGAACAUUGCUGUCUGUGCAGAGAGAGAGGAUGGCAAGAUUCAGAUACAUGUUACUCGGCGGAGUUCAUCCGCAUGAAAGAAUACUAACAAACACUGGGCUUAAGGGAGUUAAGAAGGAAUCAAGACCAUUCAGAUGUCCCUGCAGUUUCUGCUUGUUUAACAGAUGGGAUCCUUCUGAGAAUGCUAGAAUAGGGAAUUUUGACACCAAGCCACUUCAGCCA
This 484-nucleotide long non-coding RNA is filed under the name Homo sapiens (human). RNAcentral's name for it is "non-protein coding lnc-PLEKHG7-5:2". Lineage: Eukaryota; Metazoa; Chordata; Mammalia; Primates; Hominidae. The record is from RNAcentral.